This 253-nucleotide ribosomal RNA is filed under the name uncultured bacterium. Its description in RNAcentral is "partial 16S ribosomal RNA". It matches the Rfam family "Bacterial small subunit ribosomal RNA", at positions 524 to 776 of the family's 1533-position model. The record is from RNAcentral.
GACGUAGGGAGCGAGCGUUGUCCGGAUUCAUUGGGCGUAAAGAGCGCGCAGGCGGUUUGGUAAGUCGGAUGUGAAAACUGGAGGCUCAACCUUCAGAGGUCGACCGAAACCAUCUGGCUAGAGUCCGGGAGAGGAGAGUGGAAUUCCUGGUGUAGCGGUGAAAUGCGCAGAUAUCAGGAAGAACACCCGUGGCGAAAGCGGCUCUCUGGAACGGUACUGACGCUGAGACGCGAAAGCGUGGGGAGCAAACAGG